GGCGGAAUUGGUAGACGCACCAGAUUUAGGUUCUGGCGCCGCAAGGUGUGAGAGUUCAAGUCUCUCCUUCCGCACCA
RNAcentral lists this transfer RNA (77 nucleotides) under Vibrio parahaemolyticus. Its description in RNAcentral is "tRNA-Leu". It matches the Rfam family "tRNA", at positions 9 to 71 of the family's 71-position model. From Rfam's summary of the family: Transfer RNA (tRNA) molecules are approximately 80 nucleotides in length. Their secondary structure includes four short double-helical elements and three loops (D, anti-codon, and T loops). RNAcentral also lists the same sequence under 1 other name. The record is from RNAcentral. Lineage: Bacteria; Pseudomonadati; Pseudomonadota; Gammaproteobacteria; Vibrionales; Vibrionaceae.